GACGAACGCUGGCGGCGUGCUUAACACAUGCAAGUCGAACGGAAAGGCCCUGCUUUUGUGGGGUGUUCGAGUGGCGAACGGGUGAGUAACACGUGAGUAACCUGCCCUUGACUUUGGGAUAACUUCAGGAAACUGGGGCUAAUACCGGAUAGGAGCUCCUGCUGCAUGGUGGGGGUUGGAAAGUUUCGGCGGUUGGGGAUGGACUCGCGGCUUAUCAGCUUGUUGGUGGGGUAGUGGCUUACCAAGGCUUUGACGGGUAGCCGGCCUGAGAGGGUGACCGGCCACAUUGGGACUGAGAUACGGCCCAGACUCCUACGGGAGGCAGCAGUGGGGAAUAUUGCACAAUGGGCGGAAGCCUGAUGCAGCAACGCCGCGUGCGGGAUGACGGCCUUCGGGUUGUAAACCGCUUUCGCCUGUGACGAAGCGUGAGUGACGGUAAUGGGUAAAGAAGUACCGGCUAACUACGUG
RNAcentral lists this ribosomal RNA (468 nucleotides) under uncultured bacterium. RNAcentral's name for it is "partial 16S ribosomal RNA". It matches the Rfam family "Bacterial small subunit ribosomal RNA", at positions 28 to 507 of the family's 1533-position model. The record is from RNAcentral.